Molecule: ribosomal RNA, 996 nt
Filed under: Sinentomon erythranum
Lineage: Eukaryota; Metazoa; Arthropoda; Protura; Sinentomata; Sinentomidae
Description: large subunit ribosomal RNA
Source: RNAcentral
UUUUUAUUUUUUUUUCUUUAUAUAAUAUGAUUUUUUUCUUUCCUUUUGGAUCAGGAUAUUAUUUUUUUUUAAUGGUUUAUUUUUUCGAAAUUAUUUAAACUAAAAUUAAAUUUUUGUUUUAGUUACAUAUAGUUUUUUUAUUUAAUUUUAGUAGAUAUAUUUUUCAUAUAUAAAGAUAUCUAAUUUAAUCUUAUUCUAAUUAUUUAUUAUGUCUUUGGGGAAAUCUUUAAGUUUAAUUAAAUUUUUUUUUAUUUAUUUUUAAUUUAGGAUUAAUAUUUUCUUUUAUUUUUUAUUAUUGUAAAUUUUUAUUCUUAUUUUUAUUUUUAUUUCUAUUUUUUUAAUUUGAUUUUGUUUUUAAUUUUUUUUAUUUAAUUAUUUAAUUAUUAGUAUAUAUAUUUUUUUAUGUUUUUUUAUAAAAAAUUUAAUUAAAAUUACUUUUACAUUUUUUGCCUGUUUAUCAAAAACAUGUCUUUAAGUUUUUGUUUAAGGUCUUGCCUGCCCAAUGAUUUUUAAUGGCCGCAGUAUUUUGACUGUGCUAAGGUAGCAUAAUCAUUUGUUUUUUAAUUGAAAACUGGAAUGAAAGGUUUGACAAAUAAAUUAAGUUUCUUUUUGAGUCUUAUAAUUUUUUUUUUUAGUUAAAAAACUUAAUUUUUUUUGAGGGACGAUAAGACCCUAAAAUUUUUAUUUAUUUUAUUUAUUUUAUUUUAAAUUUCAUUGGGGCAAUGUUAAAUUUUAUUUUUUUUUUUAUUUUUUUGAUCCAUUUUUUGAUAUUUAGUUUUAAAUACUUUAGGGAUAACAGCAUAAUUUUUUUUUAUAGUUCUUAUUAGUGAAAAAGAUUUUGACCUCGAUGUUGGAUUAAAGAUUUUUUUGGGGUAGGUUUUAAAAAUUUAGGUCUGUUCGACCUUAUAGUCUUUACAUGAUCUGAGUUCAGACCGGCGUGAGCCAGGUCAGUUUCUAUCUUCAAUUUUUUUUUUUAUUUUAGUACGAAAGGACCAA